GGAGAAAAGCAGGGGAUCGCAAGACCUUGCGCUAAAGGAGCGGCCGAUGUCUGAUUAGCUAGUUGGUGGGGUAAAGGCUUACCAAGGCAACGAUCAGUAGUUGGUCUGAGAGGACGGCCAACCACACUGGGACUGAGACACGGCCCAGACUCCUACGGGAGGCAGCAGUGGGGAAUUUUGGACAAUGGGCGAAAGCCUGAUCCAGCCAUGCCGCGUGAGUGAAGAAGGCCUUCGGGUUGUAAAGCUCUUUUAGCCGGAAAGAAAGAGUUGCAAUGAAUAAUUGUGAUUUAUGACGGUACCGACAGAAAAAGCACCGGCUAACUACGUGCCAGCAGCCGCGGUAAUACGUAGGGUGCGAGCGUUAAUCGGAAUUACUGGGCGUAAAGAGUGCGCAGGCGGUUUUGUAAGUCAGAUGUGAAAUCCCCGGGCUUAACCUGGGAAUUGCGUUUGAAACUACAAAGCUAG
RNAcentral lists this ribosomal RNA (465 nucleotides) under Nitrosomonas sp. enrichment culture. RNAcentral describes it as "bacterial SSU rRNA". It matches the Rfam family "Bacterial small subunit ribosomal RNA", at positions 198 to 644 of the family's 1533-position model. Lineage: Bacteria; Pseudomonadati; Pseudomonadota; Betaproteobacteria; Nitrosomonadales; Nitrosomonadaceae. The record is from RNAcentral.